UACGGAGGGUGCAAGCAUUGAUCGGAAUUACUGGGCGUAAAGGGCGCGUAGGCGGUUUUUUAAGUCGGAUGUGAAAUUCCGGGGCUCAACCCCGGAGCUGCAUUUGAAACUAGAGAGCUAGAGUUCAGUUAGGGUAAACGGAAUUCCACGUGUAGCGGUGAAAUGCGUAGAUAUGUGGAAGAACACCGGUGGUGAAGACGGUUUACUGGGCUGAUACUGACGCUGAGGCGCGAAAGCAUGGGGAGCAAACAGG
Molecule: ribosomal RNA, 253 nt
Filed under: uncultured bacterium
Lineage: Bacteria
Description: partial 16S ribosomal RNA
Rfam family: Bacterial small subunit ribosomal RNA
Source: RNAcentral